UAACCUACAGAGGGAGAGUCAGAUCGGC
This 28-nucleotide small RNA is filed under the name Bombyx mori (domestic silkworm). RNAcentral describes it as "ovarian small RNA-18758". The record is from RNAcentral. Lineage: Eukaryota; Metazoa; Arthropoda; Insecta; Lepidoptera; Bombycidae.